UAAUCUAUUUAGAGCAGAUCCUCAUUUAGUUUUGUUAGACUCACACAUGACUGCUCAAAAUCACUUGCUACUGUGUGAACAAUAAUUUUUUAAAAUUUUAAUUGGAGU
Molecule: non-coding RNA, 108 nt
Organism: Populus trichocarpa (black cottonwood)
Lineage: Eukaryota; Viridiplantae; Streptophyta; Magnoliopsida; Malpighiales; Salicaceae
Source: Rfam